UGGGGAAUAUUGCACAAUGGGCGAAAGCCUGAUGCAGCGACGCCGCGUGAGGGAUGACGGCCUUCGGGUUGUAAACCUCUUUCAGCAGGGACGAAGCGCAAGUGACGGUACCUGCAGAAGAAGCACCGGCUAACUACGUGCCAGCAGCCGCGGUAAUACGUAGGGUGCAAGCGUUGUCCGGAAUUACUGGGCGUAAAGAGUUCGUAGGCGGUUUGUCGCGUCGUUUGUGAAAACCAGCAGCUCAACUGCUGGCUUGCAGGCGAUACGGGCAGACUUGAGUACUGUAGGGGAGACUGGAAUUCCUGGUGUAGCGGUGAAAUGCGCAGAUAUCAGGAGGAACACCGGUGGCGAAGGCGGGUCUCUGGGCAGUAACUGACGCUGAGGAACGAAAGCGUGGGUAGCGAACAGG
RNAcentral lists this ribosomal RNA (409 nucleotides) under Bacillota bacterium. RNAcentral's name for it is "Firmicutes bacterium partial 16S ribosomal RNA". It matches the Rfam family "Bacterial small subunit ribosomal RNA", at positions 355 to 776 of the family's 1533-position model. The record is from RNAcentral. Lineage: Bacteria; Bacillati; Bacillota.